RNAcentral lists this ribosomal RNA (619 nucleotides) under Shigella flexneri. RNAcentral's name for it is "partial 23S ribosomal RNA". It matches the Rfam family "Bacterial large subunit ribosomal RNA", at positions 458 to 1079 of the family's 2925-position model. The record is from RNAcentral. Lineage: Bacteria; Pseudomonadati; Pseudomonadota; Gammaproteobacteria; Enterobacterales; Enterobacteriaceae.
UCCCAAGGCUAAAUACUCCCUAGUGACCGAUAGUGAACCAGUACCGUGAGGGAAAGGUGAAAAGCACCCCGGAAGGGGAGUGAAAGAGAUCCUGAAACCGUGUGCCUACAAGUAGUCAGAGCCCGUUAACGGGUGAUGGCGUGCCUUUUGUAGAAUGAACCGGCGAGUUACGAUCUCGUGCAAGGUUAAGCAGAAGAUGCGGAGCCGCAGCGAAAGCGAGUCUGAAUAGGGCGCAUGAGUACGUGGUCGUAGACCCGAAACCAGGUGAUCUACCCAUGUCCAGGGUGAAGUUCAGGUAACACUGAAUGGAGGCCCGAACCCACGCACGUUGAAAAGUGCGGGGAUGAGGUGUGGGUAGGGGUGAAAUGCCAAUCGAACCUGGAGAUAGCUGGUUCUCUCCGAAAUAGCUUUAGGGCUAGCCUCGAUUUAGUCUUAUGGAGGUAGAGCACUGAAUUUCCGCGGGGGCGUCAAAGCUUACCAAAGAAUAUCAAACUCCGAAUGCCAUGUAGAUGAUGAUCGGGAGUCAGACUGCACGAGAUAAGUUGGGCAGUCAAAAGGGAAAGAGCCCAGACCACCGGCUAAGGUCCCAAAGUGCGUGUUAAGUGGAAAAGGUUGUGGG